This 516-nucleotide ribosomal RNA is filed under the name uncultured bacterium. RNAcentral describes it as "bacterial SSU rRNA". It matches the Rfam family "Bacterial small subunit ribosomal RNA", at positions 15 to 518 of the family's 1533-position model. The record is from RNAcentral.
GAUCAUGGCUCAGGAUGAACGCUGGCGGCGUGCCUAACACAUGCAAGUCGAACGGGGUUGCGCGCUGAGGAAGCUUCGGCAGAAUCUGCGUAACCUAGUGACGGACGGGUGAGUAACGCGUGGACAACCUGCCCCUUUCUGGGGGACAACAGCCGGAAACGGCUGCUAAUACCGCAUGAGCUGCAGAGAUCGCAUGGUCUUUGUAGGAAAGGAGAGAUCCGGGAAGGGAUGGGUCCGCGUCCGAUUAGCCAGUUGGCGGGGUAACGGCCCACCAAAGCGACGAUCGGUAGCCGGCCUGAGAGGGCGGACGGCCACAUUGGGACUGAGACACGGCCCAGACUCCUACGGGAGGCAGCAGUGGGGGAUAUUGCACAAUGGGGGAAACCCUGAUGCAGCGACGCCGCGUGGGUGAAGAAGCUUUUCGGAGCGUAAAGCCCUAUCAGCAGGGAAGAAAGCCCGCAAGGGUUAGACGGUACCUGACUAAGAAGCCCCGGCUAACUACGUGCCAGCCGCCGC